UCUUGCAAUCCCAUUGUGAGUGCUAUAAACAGAUUUCACAGUUUGCACAGACUGAUGCACACUUGGCAUAUUCGAUGUUGUUUGAGUAAUAAAUGGCCUAACUGUAUGAUCUCUAGCAGUUUGAAGAGCUGUUUGUGGUGCACCUGUGUCAGCAAUCCCCUCAGCCUUCACUGGAGCAUGAGUCGGAACCUUGCUUUCUGCCCCCAUCUUAGACAAAGAAUUGGGCUGUAAAGACCACGUUGGAGCAUUCACCAGAGGAUGAUUCACAGAAGCAUUUGCU
This 280-nucleotide long non-coding RNA is filed under the name Linum usitatissimum (flax). RNAcentral's name for it is "long non-coding RNA (LUSI_LNC001885)". The record is from RNAcentral. Lineage: Eukaryota; Viridiplantae; Streptophyta; Magnoliopsida; Malpighiales; Linaceae.